RNAcentral lists this ribosomal RNA (301 nucleotides) under uncultured bacterium. Its description in RNAcentral is "partial 16S ribosomal RNA". It matches the Rfam family "Bacterial small subunit ribosomal RNA", at positions 509 to 809 of the family's 1533-position model. The record is from RNAcentral.
CAGUCGCCACGGGAAUACAGAGGGUGCGAGCGUUAAUCGGAUUUACUGGGCGUAAAGCGUGCGUAGGCGGCUUCUUAAGUCGGAUGUGAAAUCCCUGAGCUUAACUUAGGAAUUGCAUUCGAUACUGGGAAGCUAGAGUAUGGGAGAGGAUGGUAGAAUUCCAGGUGUAGCGGUGAAAUGCGUAGAGAUCUGGAGGAAUACCGAUGGCGAAGGCAGCCAUCUGGCCUAAUACUGACGCUGAGGUACGAAAGCAUGGGGAGCAAACAGGAUUAGAUACCCCUGUAGUCCCUGUCUUUAUACA